UUUUUUUUUUUUUUUUUUUUUUAAGGCCACACCUGGGGCAUAUGGAAGUUCCCAGGCUAGGGGUCAAAUUAGAGCUGCAGCUGCCGGCCUGCACCACAGCAACAGCAAUGCCAGAUUCAAGCCACAUCUGCAAUCUACACGGCAGCUCACAGCAACCCCAGAUCCUUUAACCCACUGAGUGAGGCCAGAGAUGAAACCUGCAUCCUCAUGGAUACUAGUCGGGUUCUUAACCCACUGAGCCACAACAGGAACUCCAAUUCGAAUUCUUGAGAAAAAAAAAAAAAAACAUAUAUCCAUAUGGACUACCACAGUCUUGUCCUAAGGGGCUCUGAUUAAAUCCCCCAGGUCAGACGUACCCCUCUUGUCCCGUCGGCUAUGACUGGCUGGGGAUGGAUGGACAGGUUGGCUGAUGACUGGGAUAGAUGUUUUUGAGAUGGAGGCUCAGAGUGAGACGAGAAUCUCAUAUAUGUUUGCUACAAAUGUAAUCUAAUGGAUCAGGGCUGAGGUGUCUGCAUACGGGCCACUUGGUUUUAUUCUGCUACACCAAUGGUGAGCAAUAUGUGUUUGGGAAAAGGUCAGGUUUACAGGUCAUAUUGUAUCUGUGAUGAGGGGAAAGGGUAGAGAUACCAACAUCAAGAAAACACAGAUUCAUAUAUCCAAAUGAUCUGCUUUACAGCACAAAAUUUUAUUGAUAAAAAUCACCUCCACUUGUAUGGCAAUGCUACUAUUGGACAUAUUUAGGAAAAUGCUAACUCACAUAGAUUCAGCUUUAUUAAUUUUCUUUAUCCAUUUGCAUUACAGAGAGCUUGUUUAUAUGAACUAUCAUAUUUCACCUUCAAAAUAACCCUAACCAAGAGAUCUUAUCAUCUCUUCUUUUCAUUUAAGGCAACUGAAACACAGAAUGGGGAAGUAAAUCACCAAAGUUACAUGGUAGAUAAGUGGCAGAGGAUAGAAUUUUCUUAUUUAAUUAAACUGAAAUGAGCUUUUGCCUUGAACAUAGGACACUCCCCAGGGUAAAAGAAAUUAAGGAUGGUUAUAACCCUAAAAAAGAAAUACUUGCAAUAAAAGCAUAACAUGAUGCUUUUUCACUUUUUCUUUUUUCUUUUUUUUCUUUUUUUUUUUAGGGCUGCACUCAUAGUGUGUGGAAGUUCCCAGGCUAGGGGUGGAAUACACCACAGCCACAGCAACAGCAGAUCCAAGCCACAUCUGUGACCUAUACCACAGGUCACCAAAAGGCUGGAUAUUUAACCUACUGAGCCAGGCUAGGGAUCAAACCCAUGUCCUCAUGGAUACUAGUUAGGUUCUUAACCUGCUGAGCCACAAGGGAACUCCAUGAUGCUUUUCUAAACUAGAAUGGUUGUCUUACACUUAUAUAAAGAUCUCUUUUAGACUUAUAAGCAUACGUGUUAUUCUCUAUCACCAUUAAGGAUAUGAAAAAAAAGGAAAUUAUAAGCAAAAUAAGUUAGUUGAAAUAGUCUAAAACUCUGUUUUGUACUCAGAGUCCAAUUCAUUUUGAAUUAUGUAUUCGCUCAGUCAUUAAAAUCUGCUGAUUUUCUAUCUAUCAUGUAUUGGUUUUUGUCAUAUAAUAAACUACCCUUGACCCCAAAGGCUUAAUACUAUAAGCACUUGUUAUUGCUUAUGAGUUUGCAGGUCAGUUGGGCAGUUCUGCCAAUUUGGACAGAAAUUGAACUCACUCCUCUAUCUGUGGUUGGACAGCAAUUUGGCUGAAAACUAGCUGGUCAAGGAUGGCCUCACUCACCUGUCUGAUGGCAGGCUCACCACCAUGGCAGAGACGAUGAGGGUGACAGAGCUACAUGUCUUUUAUCACCCAGUGGACCAGCUUGUACUUGCUUUCAUGAUGACUUCUUGGACCUGGGUUCAAAACUUACUAACGUCACUUUGGUUGCAUUCAAUUGCCUAAAGCCAGUCACAGAGCAUCCUAGGUUCAAGGGAUGAGCAAAUAGAUUCUACCUCUUGAUGGGAAAAGCUGCAGUCACAUUGCAUAAAGCAUAAAUACAGAGAAAAAUGAGACUUGGGACCACUUUUAUGAUUUAUCUAUGAUAUUAAGGUUUUCCUAAGGCUUCUUCAUUUUCUUCAUAAUCUAGCCCUUCUGAAUUAUUUUCCCCUUUGAAUGUGUCAAUAUCUAAUGAUUUACCACUGAAUUUUGUCCUCUGGGUUACUAAAAACAUUUCUUAGAAGAGUUUUUCCUCUAUCAUUACUGUGAUUUUCUUCCAAGCCACUGAUACCCAUUCUGCAAAUUUCAGGGCUUACCUUUUCUUGAUUUUGUCAGAAAGGAGAAUAAAGAAAAUACCAAUAGAAAUUAACACACCAACCUUUCUUUUACCUAUUCUUAGAAAUUUGGAGGUUUUUCUGACUCUAGUUGCAUUGCUUGACAUGUGUAAAGGGGAAGAACAGUGGUCCCAAAGAUAUCAGAUACUAAUCCCUGAAAACUGUAAAUGUUACAUAAUUAGGGGGAAAAAGUCUUUGCAGAUGCAAUUAAGUUAAGGAUGUUGAGAUGGAAAGACUGUAUUUGAUUAUUUGCAUAGGCCCUAAGUGUCAUUACGAGUGUCCUUAUAAGAGAAAAGGAGAGGGAGAUUCAAUGCACCGAGGAGGAAAAGGUGAUGUGAAGACAGAGGUAGAGAUUAGAGGAUAAAACCACCAGAGGCUGGAAGAGACAAGAAAUGAUUUCUCCCUUAGAAUCUACAGAGUGAGCAGGGCCGUACCUACACCUUGAUUUUGACCUAGUGAAUCUGAUGUUGAACUUCUGUCAACCAAAAAAGGAUAAGUUUGUGAUCAUUUGUUACAGCAGCCAUGGGAAGUGAAUAAAGCAUGUGACAGGCAAUUUGUUGCAUGUAUCUAUCUCAGUAACAAAAUGUAAGAGAGCCAUCUACUUAUGGUUUAUUUCCUUUCUUAAGUUCUCCAAAGCAUUCAAUGUGACUUUGCAAGAAAGUACAUAUUAUGGAUAAUCCUUCAAUGAAAAAUGCUUUUUUCCUGCACAGUAGCUGUCUAUUUCCAUGCUCUAUUACAUAUAACAAAAUUAUAUUUAUUAUUUAUAUAUCAGAAUAACAUUUUUUCUGAUGUUGUAUAUUCUUUUUAAGGCAUUUUCAACGGCAAUUAAACCCAGCAUGGGUAGUAUUAACAAUACAGAAAAUUCAGACGAAUGGACCAAUGUUAAGACGCAUCUCAAUUUCAGAAAUACAAAAAAUAAAGUAUCUUAGAGUGAUGAUAUAUGUAGUUCAUUUCAUCCCAUGCAUCAUCACUAAGUGUUCACGCUAUGCAAGCCCUGUGUUACAGACUGGAAAGAGGCUAAGACAGCACCUUCCUGAUCUCCAGCUUAGCUCUUUCUCUCCAAUACUUGCAGAAUCUCUUCUCUGCAAGGACCUGAAAGAGCAAGGCGGGCUUGUGUUAUAUAAAGCACCUAGUGUGCCAGCUUCCAGAAGGCUGGGCUACCAGGACAUACUGGCUGCUUCUGUCACACUCUAAGCUAGUGCUACAGACAGCUCAGUCUGUCACUCACGAAGCUGGCCCAACAUGGAGCACAAUCUCUACCUAGACUAAUCAGCCUCCUAGUAGUGGGGAAAUAUCUGGGGAAGUGAUUUCAAAAUGUCCUUUCUACAUCCAGGGUGGUUGUCCUGGAGGCUUUUAUUUUCCUCAGGCUAAAACUGGAUCUCAGACCAUUUGGAGUUGCAUCUUACAUGGUGAGCCAUUUUUCUGAGACACUAAUUAGGGAAUAAUUUUGCAAAUACGCUCUCUUGGUCCAAAGCAAAACAUUUUCAGAAUAUGAUAGGUGCAUUAGCAGAAAUCAACAAAAACUACCAGGAAAUCAACAAAACUAUGAAUGACAGACCAUAAGAGUCAGUUGUGCCCUGUGAUAGCUGAGCUUAACUCUUCAUGCCUUACCUGCAAAGCCUUUUGCAUCAUCUCAGGGGCCUUCCCUUCCAAACAGUUAUGAACAUUCUGAAGAUUUCUGUCCCCCAAACCUGUCUUUUGCUUUUUCUUUUCUUCUGAAUCUUAUAAAUCAACUCACAAAAUUAUAUGACAUUGAAUUCCACUUUCUCAAUACUGCAUUAUCAACUAUAUUUUAAUUUAUUAGAAUAAAUAUUUUUAAGUGAUAUUUUCAAAAGCUCAUAGACAAAUCUAAUCUUCAGGGGCUCUGCCACUAAGUUACUCUAGCUCCAGGCCAAUCAUUUAAUCUCCCUGUGCCUUGACUUCUUCACCAGCAAGAUUUUAAAAAUUCCCUUCAACAUUAAAAAGUCUUAACUCUAGAAAGCACUUCAUGUGGUUUUUGAGCCAGACUUCUGAUAUUUGAUCAGGAAAAUACCCACUCACUCUUAACUAAAUAUAGAAAGACCUAGAAACUAUUGGUACCAUGACUAGUUUUAGAACUUCUGCUGGUCCUAUUAGAACCAAGAAUAAUAUGAGAUUUCUUCUAAGACUCUCUCUAAUUAGAAAGAUUUCCUUUUGACACAAUGAACCUUUUUGCAGAACAGAUACUGACUCACAGACUUUGAAAAACUUAUGGUUUCCAAAUGAGACAGGUUGGGGGGUGGAGGGAUGCACUGAGGGUUUGGGAUGGAAAGGCUGUAAAAUUUGGUUGUGAUGAUUGUUGUACAACUGUAAAUGCAAUAAAAUUCAUUGAGUAAUUUUAAAAAUUUUAUAUGUUGCAUAAUAUUUAGAUAAAUUUCAAAAAUGAAUGAUAGCUUCACAUCUAUUUAGUUACCAUUCUCACCCUGGUCUGGGCUUAUCUCCACCAAGGGCUAGAUAAGCAAAAUAGGGCUGAAAGAAGGAUGAAGGCUUCAAGGUAUGGCACUCGAAGACUUAUUAAACCUUCAAAAGAUUUAAUCAAAUCAAAUUUUAUUUAUCCCAUCCACAGUUUAGCCAACCAUUCCAUAAUUUUCAGAUAUUUAGAUGGUCUUUCACUUUAGGCUGAAAUACACAUUUUGGAUCUUUGUUUGCAUUUUCCAGAAGUAGAAUUCUGGGCCAAAGUGCAUGACCAGUUUGAGGCUCAUCAUACAUAUUGCUAAAUUUCUUCUCAUUUUACAUCCCAUCAGCAACUACCUAAUUGAACUACUUGAACUGCAUUUUGAAUUUAACUGUUUUUUUCUCUUGCCCACAUGAAGAAGUCUAACCUCUUCAGAGCAGGGAAAGAGAAUGAGGGAUUAAGAUGAAUGAGUUUCUCUCCUCUGCUAAUUUAUACCAUCACCCCCUUUCAGAUUAACUUACAACUUAAAAAGAAAUAAUAUUCAUUUGGGGGCAAGGGCUGAAGGAGAACAUGAAAAAAUUAAAACUACUGUAACUGUGCAGCCACUGGGGGAGGGAGUAACCUUGUUUCAAAAUUUCUGCCUUUCUAUUACAUCCCCAGGAAUCUUUAGAAACAAAAUUUUACCUUGUAUGCCUCACAUAAAAGACUUUUACCCCCAAACCAGAAACCCUCAAAACGGAUGUUGCCAAAUUAAAACAAAUGCUCUUAAAUAAAUUUUUCUAAUAAUAAAAACAACGUAUGAUUCUUUUAAAAUAUUUGGAAAGAAAAAGUUUACUUCCAGAGAGAUAAGCUGAUAAACAUAAUAAAAAUUAGUUUAAUAUUAUGUAUGCAGGUCAUAUUCUACUAUUUGCCACCUUUUACUAUGAAGCAGGGUUUUUCGUCACAUCAUACAGUUAUUUUUGGAAACAUAAUAUUUAAAAACUGGGCAAUUUUCCCCUUAACGUAUCAACUAUACUUUACUUUUAGACAUUUGUUUCUAUUUUUUUUCUAUGAUAAAUAACUCUGCACGGAACAUUCUCACGCAUCCUUAUAUCUUUGAUUAACUCUCAAAUUAUCACUUUAGAUAGAUUCCAAGAAUGAUUUUUUAUAAAUAUCGCAAAAUUGCUUUACAGAAAGCUCAUACUCAUUCAAACUCUCACCAGCAGUGUAUAAGAAUAUCCAUUACAAUGAAGUUUUAUGAAUGUGUAAUAUUAUUCUAAGUUUUUAAUCAAAGAUUCUCAUUGUUUUUACAAGUUGUUUCCAAACCAGGUCAGGGUAACUUCUCUUAUUUACUUACACAGCUUUUAUUAAGAGAGAUACGAGUUUCUGCUCCCCAAAUUGUUCAGACUGCUAUGAAAGGCAAGUUAUUUGCCUUGGUAGCAUCUGAGUUGGGUAGCUGCUGAGUUACACGGUCAACUGGUGGAGUUAGUCACCACCACCCACUGGAGUUUCCCUAAGUGGUCUGGUCACGUUUGUUUCAUGAUUAGCCUCACUGUUAUGAAAUAGUGAAGGAUGUGCAGGACAGAUGCCCAGUCAUACCUCUUGGUUAGCAUGGAGCUCAGAAGUCCUAUGAGAGGUAACCUGAACUCUCUUUAAAGUGGGAGUUACCAUGGCUCAGCGGUAAGGAACCUGACUAGAAUCCAUGAGGAUGCAGGUUCUAUUCCUGGCCUCGCUAAGUGGGUUAAGAAUCUGGUGUUGCCGUGAGCUGUGGUGUAGGUCACAGACGUGGCUCAGAUCCUACAUUGCUGUGGCUGUGGUGCAGGCUGGCAGCUGCAGCUCCAAUUCAACUCCUAGCCUGGGAACUUCCAUAUGCUACAGAAGUGGCCCCAAAAAAGACAAAAAAAAAAUAAAUUUAAAAGAUAAAAUAUAAAAAAGUUGGAGUUAAGAGCUGUACAGACCUGUUAACUUGCAGGUCCCUAAAAUAAUCUGGAGUGGAGGAAGGACAGUGAAGACUGAGUGAAAAGCAAUGGAGUAGAGUGAGCCAAACUGUACAGCAGCACAUGGAUAUUGAAGAGAGCAUUUUUUCUAGGAGAAUAAAAAACUAGGCUCAACCAUCCUCUGAAAUAGCCACUGAGGGCUGAAAAAACAGUACUCCAGAUGAGCAAAUUACAAUGCUGUGGGAAUGCCCUCUUUAAAGAAGAUGUCACCAUAAGUAGGAGACUUCCAAUAGUUAGUGUAAAAAGAAUACCAGGUAACAAUCCCAAGAUCAGCAGAGGGGGCAGAAACCCCUCCCAUGGGAGGAGAGAGAGUCUGCUCUCCCACAGUAACAGGUUCAAAGAGAAGAGUGACAGCUCUCAAUCUCAAAUGAACAGGAAGUUGGAGGUGCUAACACUGGCUCAAGGGAGCCACAAACCACUGUUUCUAUUACCUUGAAAGGACAGCCCUGAUGCUUCAGUCCAGCUCCUGCCUCUGUCCAACCAGUGCUCCAGAGAUUCCGACAUUGAAAAUGACAGUAAACAAGGGCAAACACCCAGAAAAUCAUUAAGAAAAAAGACUACAGCUUGCUAGCCAAGUUAGUGGGGCUUAGCCCAUCAGGAUGUGUGGGGUACAAAUCUGAAAGAUUCGUUCUCAUCAGCUGAAGUCCUGAUCCAUUCUCAUCAGCUGAAGCCCCUUUCAACUUUGUGACACUUAUGGAUAUGUUGUUAUCUGGCUGGAACAUAGUGUGUGCAUCCAUUAUUGAUUAAGAAAACCUUUUUAAUUUCUCAAAUUAAAAACCUAUUGGUUGUUAUAAAUUCCAUCUUUACAUAUACCAAUUUGUGGCCACUGAUAAUAAUGGAGCAGAAAUCCUGCCAAACAGUUCUUUUUUGCUUUGAAAAAAUAUAUAUACAGACUAACAAAUAUAUAUGCACACAUAUAUACAUGCAUAUACACAUGAGCAGGUAACAUGUUGAUGAACGGUUUGAAAUUCACAGGGAUAAAAAUGAAACCAGUUUCAUUUCCCUCCUAUUAUUAUAAUAUGUUGAAUCUCCUCCUCUAAGUGGGGAGCAGAUACCUAAUGCAAUCUUGGGCAGAAACCAUAGCAUUUCCAACACUUUAUAAUUAUAAGACAAAUUUAGUAUUAUUCAGUUUAAAACUCAAAUCGCAUAUUUGGUGCAAAUCUCAUCUCCAUUAGACAUGGCCCAUGGCUCCAGAGACCAGCAGUGGGUUUGGUCAUUAACAGGUUGGAGUCAAGGGAGGGGGUCUGGCUUGUCUCUUCCUACCUAUUUAAGAACAUAUUUCUCUGGUGGUGGGAGUUGAAAGGGAGGAUGAAUGAGGAUGUGUCUUUAUUGACUGCCUACUCUUUUGGUCCUCUAUUGGUUUUUGCUCUUCACUUUCUCUGGCUGCCUUCUAUGUAACAAGGGUACAAAUAUAUCUUCUCAUUUGGACAAGAGUAAGUUCUCCUGAGGGUUUACUUAUACCAAGAAGCAGGAAGAUAUCAAACUAAUUUAAAAAGACAAUCAGUAUGGCAGUUUUAACUAAUGCAAUAAGACAAAAAAAGAAAAUAAAGGGUAUUCUGACUGGUAAGGAAGAAAUAAAGCUGUUUGUUCUUGAUGAUGUGAUUAUCUAUGCAGAACAUUCAAAGGAAUUGACAAAAAAAAAUUCUGGAGCUAAUAAAUGAUUACAGGUAAGGUUGCAGGAUACAAGGUUAAUACAUGAGAGUCAAUUACUUUCCUAUACAAUGAACAAGUGGAAUUUGAAAUUAAAAACACAAUACCAUUUUAUCACCCCUAAAAUGAAAUACUUAGGUAUAAAUCUAACAUAAAUCUAAUGUUCAAGAUCUAUGAGAGAGAAAUUGCAAACCUCUGAUGAAAGAAAUCAAAGAACUAAAGAAAUGGGGAGCUACCCCAUGUGCAUAGAUAGGAAAACUCAUAUUGCAAAGUUCUUGCCACAUGGUUUCUAGAUUCAAUGCAAUCCCAACUGAAAUUCCAGCAAGUUAUUUUGUGGCAAUCAACAAACUGAUUCUAAAAUUUAUAUGGAGAGGCAAAAGAUUCAGAAUAGCUAACACAAUAUUGAAGAACAAAAAAGAGCUUUCAUAAUCAAGGCACUAUGCAACGGUGAAAGAAUAGACAGAUCUAUGGAACAGAUCUGAAAUAGACCCACAUAAAUAUAGUUAACUUACCUUUGACAAAAAAAAAAAAAAAAA
RNAcentral lists this long non-coding RNA (8864 nucleotides) under Sus scrofa (pig). RNAcentral describes it as "lncRNA (ENSSSCG00040043016.1)". The record is from RNAcentral. Lineage: Eukaryota; Metazoa; Chordata; Mammalia; Artiodactyla; Suidae.